CCAUGGCCAGUGCCUGGCCACCGCUGGCUUGGCCACUGCGUGCUCGCCGCCCAAUCCUGACCAAUGGGUUGCCUGCAGCGUCACGUUAAAUCCACCUGCAACUGUAGUUCUUCCUCCUCCCUCUGUCCUUAGCGCAGAAGCAUCACCCUAUCUUCUUCCUCGACGCCCCCUGCUCCUCUCUCUACCGAGCUCCCAUUCUCCACGGCGUUUGGCAGCAGAGAGCCCUUCUCCCCAGCAGGAGCAGGGCCUCCAUGGCGUCCGACCCCUCUCCUUUCUCCUCCCCGCUCGGAGCUCUGCCAUAGCGCACACAAAUCCCUUCCCCCUCCAUUCCUAGGCGCAGGAAGUUCUCCCCCACGCCGUCCAGCUCCAGGCCGGAUCCAAUUCGUGCUAUCCCUGCUCGUCCAGAAUUUCUUGCCCCAAGUCCGGCAAUCCCCUCGCCGUGGAUUUCCUCGAGCUUGCCUCCCCAUGGUCGCCAACCAUCCUGCCCCCUGCCCCUGGUGCGCUGGGCGCCUAGUGCUCUGACCUCGACGGCCACCCUCCUCUCUGCUCGAGCAAUGCUAGGGACGUGUGGCAAGCCCUUGUUCCCAGCGUCGCGCCCUUGCCUCCAUCAACACUAAGACCCCGGUAGCGCCUGCCAUGGUCGCCGCAGGUCUCUGCUCCUUCCCCAAGCUCGCCCUCAUCUCCCAGGUCGCCACUUUCCUCUCCCUGCCCACAUCAUCGGAUUCUGCUCGCUGCGUGCUUGCCGGCAUGUCCGGGCGUGGCCCUGCAGAUUCAUCAUAGGUACCUCCUCGAACUCCUCCACACUGGUUGUGGACGGCAUUGGUAUCCCUCUGCUCCAGCAGCGUUGCGGCGCCCCGAGCUCCUCCUCCGCGUGCUGCCAUGGUCGGGGUCAGUCUCAUCCGACAACGCCAUGACUUCCACUCCGCUCUGUGGCGAGCAGCCCCUGCACCAUCCAUGCUCGUCGUGUGUUCGAGAGUUCACGCGCAAGUCUCUGCGUGGUGGCCGUGUCGCUGCAAGCUUGUGCCACGCACCCGGGCAUCGUGUCGCACCAAAUAGCAGCAGCAACACACCCUCAAGCCUCGCAUUGAACCUGCUCGACGAAAAGCGCAGCAAGCUGCGUGUCGUUCAUCCCUGCAGCAACACCAUUCUUCACUUCGCGUCAUACAUCGCAUAGCCUUCAUCGCUGCACAUUGUCCGCAUCGGCGCAGCAGCCCUCCCGUUCAUUCUCCACUCCCCUCGUCGCGUGUCAUCAAUCUCGUGCUUGCUGCGCAUCCCAUCCUCGUCGUCGUCAAAACCCUUGGUGAGCCCCUCGCUAGUACCCCCACUGUUUUUUUGAUCUCGGGUGCUUGAUAAAAUGUUUGAAUCACUGGGUGUUUUUAAUUGCAGCUAGAUGUUGUCGCUGCGCCUCGCGCGACACAUGAUUCGGUGAAACACCUAAAACCGUGGAGGCAUGCGCGACACGAGUCGGCCAGGUUGUUCGCAUUGAGUGAUUCACGAUUUGUUUUAUUUACAUAUUUGGUCGAUGAUGUGCAUGUGUUUAUAUGUGUGUGAAAAUAUAUUUGUAUGAAUGGACGCGUGUAGAGAAGAAAAUAAAGUAGAAAAGAACUCGGAUAUUUUUAUUUUGAUAGGAAAAUGUGCGAUGCGUUGUUUGAUGCGAAAACUAAGUUACAAAAUACGGAUUAUGUUUUGGGAAAUGCAUCGAUAUGUGUUUAUGUGAAAAGUGUAAUUGUUUUAUACAAUGUGAUGGGAUUCGUGAUUAUAUCGGGAAUAUAUUUAGUAAUGUGACGAGUAGUUUAGAAAAUGCUAGUUUGCGUGGAGAAUGUGUUAUUAAGACGUGAGUGUCGGAGUUCAUAUUAGUGGUCGCGCCACGUUGAUUGAAGUGUCUCGAGUGCACGCCACAAUAUGGUUGCAUGCGAGACGAGGUUAUGCGCACGAUGAGUUUAGUAAAAAUCCAUCGGUGUCACUGGUGUUAAGUUGAGGAUUAUUUGCGCGUGGAAAGUAAUAAUGUGUUUAAUUCUUAGAACUCUUAGUCGAUAGUAGAAAUUAUUUUGGCUUAUAUAGAGAGGUGGUGACAUACCAAAGUAGUCAUCGCUUCCUCUAUAUCUUGAGUCGGGUCAAUACACGUUAUGUGUUCAUGAUUUGGGAAGUAAGCGCAUGAUGGUUUCGAGUUAGAGAUUAGUGGUUUACGAUUCAUAUAAAUUGGUCGAUGUACGAAAAUACUUGUGAAUCUGUGUGUUUAUAAAAAUAUUGUAGUAUAUGUUGUGUCUUGGGUUGCGACGAUAAUAGGCAAGCCGACGUGUAUGUUAUUUAGCGGCUAUGUCAUUGCUCUAGUUAGCCAAAUUUUUAGAUGGUUUGGUUAAGUGCGUAAUCUCAAUAAAUUGUUUGUUUUAGUCUAAAUGUGUAUGGUUAUGGUCGCGGGUAAAAAUUUGUAGUGUUCAUGUGUUGUCUAAGUGAAAAUGCAAAUUAGUGUGUGAAGGGCGCAAUCGAUAUAGUUGUUGAUGGUGUAUGGUAAUUCUAGCGCACAAAAUAACUUGUAUAAAAUUAGUAAAUCUACUUGUUGGUCCUAAUUUGAUUGUUUUAACUCUAACAAACUGUAAAGUGUUAGAAUAAUUCAAGUCUAUAGAACAUGACAAUCCUUGAAUUAUAUAGGAGUUGACAUUUAAUUGUUGCUGUUUUAGACUGCACACGCUGUUUUCGCCGUGCUGUCUGUUUAAUAAACUAAAUCAUGUUUUCUGUAGAAAAGCCAUAUAGAAAAGUUGUAGAUAACUUUAUUAUCUUACUUUUGUUAAAAUUUGAUAGCCAUAAGUCUGAUCGUUUAGAAGUUGUGCUGUUCACAAAUUCAGUAACUGAAUCUGUCCAAAUUCUGUAUAGAUUUCAGAAACUGUAUUGUUUGCCUAAUUUAAUGUUACAUUCUGUUCAUGGUCGUUACAAGAAAGUUGUAGAUGCUUUUCUUAUCUCGGUUGUGUUAAAAUUUCACAACCAUAGGCCUGACAGUUUAAGAGUUAUGAAUUUUACAAACUGGUUGUUGUGUUCUGUCCACUGUCAGAACAGAUUUUGAAAACUGUAAUGUUUGAUUUGAUUAAACCUGGAAUCACUUCUUGGUGAUUAUAAAAGUUAUGUAGUACUUUUGCUAAGCUUUCUAAAAAGUCUUGGAUCACUCUUUUUGGUGAUCUAAAUAUUAAGUUAUGGAUGUUUAAAGUCUGAAGACUGAAUCUGUCCAAUUCUGGACAGCAAAGCCUUCUAGUGUCCUUUACCCUUGAUACAUAUUAAACCAGCCAGGGAUGUUUAUAAAUAAUUUGUAGAACAUUUAACUAGCUUUCCAGAAAGUCUAAGAUCACUUUGUUUAGAUGUCUGAAUCUUUAGUUGUGAAUUUUUGAAGUUGCAAGUCUGAAUCUAUCCGAAUCUGGACAGAGCUGUUGUGUUAGCACUAUUUAACCUUGUUAAGUGUCUAGUCACCUUGUUAUGACAAUACCAAAGUUGUGGAGCACUUUCUAAGCUUUCCAGAAAGUUCUAGUUUGAUAUUUUUGGACUAAUAAUUGAAGAGUUAUGAUUAAAACGAGUAAUUGUUGUGUUGCUGUCCAAAAAUCUGCAAGUGCGCAAUUAAUUGUUUAGUUCACCCUUUGACUAAAAAUGCUUAGUUAGCACUUAACGGACCUAGACUUGUAAUGUCUAAACUUAAGUUAACAUGUGUUCCAUGAUUAAUGUGCUUGCUUGCUGUAGUUGGUUGUGGAUAGGAGUUCCGUAGUUAUUGAUGCCUACAUCCUCUAUUAAACUUGUGCUUGGGAUGCUUUUGUAUGACCACUAGAAGAACUAAUGAAAAGUCGUAUCAAAUUAAAUAAAUGCUUGUACCCGUGAUGUUGUGUUUGUAGUGGCUAUGUAUAUGAUAGUGUUUGUCGGUUUCUUAGUAGUGUUAAAUUCGUAGGUCAAUAACGUAUGGCUAAUUAGUACCUACGUAUGAUCGUUGGCGAUACCGUGUCUUGCGCCUUAUAUCUAGCUCGCUGUCGUGCGUCCUUAUAUAUCUUGUGAUAUCUUUCAUUAUAUUCAUACAUAUGCAUCUUGCAUCUCAUUUAGGACCGAGAGAUAAUGAUCGUGCCAGUGAUGUGGUGACAACCACAAGAUGCAGUCGGUGGACGACCCAAGGAAGGAUGGACUUAACCAGUGGAUGCUCGCCAAGCGAGCACCUCCCCCA
This 4189-nucleotide long non-coding RNA is filed under the name Zea mays. RNAcentral's name for it is "long non-coding RNA (ZMAY_LNC004158)". The record is from RNAcentral. Lineage: Eukaryota; Viridiplantae; Streptophyta; Magnoliopsida; Poales; Poaceae.